GCAGUUAGACGAAAAAGCUUUAGUGCCGGGGAAUGAAUCUCUCUGAAAGCAAAACAACAACAUCCUUUAUCCUCCAAUUGCAUUCAAGUAAUUAGAAAAAAUAAGACUAAACAUUAGCUUGAUUAAGCCCGGGGAAAAAAGAUAUAAAAAAAGAACAUAGGUAAGUAGAACCAACCACGAACGGACUGAGAAUAGGAGAGUUUCAUCUUAUGCUUGUUUCUUUUUGCUCCUACUUGCUUGCUGUGUUUGCUGAUAAUUUCUAGGCAGUGGAAAAUCAGACCUCAACAACCUGAGAAUAGGAGAGUUUGUAGUGAUUUUUGGAAAAUUGAUAAGCUCAGGGAUAUGGUUGACGAAGAAGAGGAUAAGAAAAGAGAGAUUGAAGGCGGAUCUUCU
Molecule: long non-coding RNA, 393 nt
Filed under: Coffea arabica (coffee)
Lineage: Eukaryota; Viridiplantae; Streptophyta; Magnoliopsida; Gentianales; Rubiaceae
Description: long non-coding RNA (CARA_LNC004633)
Source: RNAcentral